UUCCACAGCUAUAUCACCCUGCAGCUCAAGGCGGUUACUUAUUGAAGCUAAGCUGGGCUGAGCCUGGUCUGUACCUGGAUGGGUGAUCACUUGGGAAAACUAGGUUGCUGUUAGAA
Molecule: ribosomal RNA, 116 nt
Organism: Danio rerio (zebrafish)
Lineage: Eukaryota; Metazoa; Chordata; Actinopteri; Cypriniformes; Danionidae
Source: Ensembl